UACGUAGGGUGCAAGCGUUAAUCGGAAUACUGGGCGUAAAGCGUGCGCAGGCGGUGAUGUAAGACAGAUGUGAAAUCCCCCGGGCUCAACCUGGGAACUGCAUUUGUGACUGCAUCGCUGGAGUACGGCAGAGGGGGGAUGGAAUUCCGCGUGUAGCAGUGAAAUGCGUAGAUAUGCGGAGGAACACCGAUGGCGAAGGCAAUCCCCUGGGCCUGUACUGACGCUCAUGCACGAAAGCGUGGGGAGCAAACAGG
RNAcentral lists this ribosomal RNA (254 nucleotides) under uncultured bacterium. Its description in RNAcentral is "partial 16S ribosomal RNA". It matches the Rfam family "Bacterial small subunit ribosomal RNA", at positions 524 to 776 of the family's 1533-position model. The record is from RNAcentral.